UACCGAGUUUCCAACUCACAACCCACUGCGAACAUACCUACGUUGCUUCGGCGGUCCCCGGCUCCGGCCGCGCCGCCGAGGAACCCAAACUCUUGUUUUUCCAAUGUGUAAUUCUGAGUAUCUUGAAAUAAAUCAAAACCUUCAACAACGGAUCUCUUGGCUCUGGCAUCGAUGAAGAACGCAGCGAAAUGCGAAAAGUAAUGUGAAUUGCAGAAUUCAGUGAAUCAUCGAAUCUUUGAACGCACAUUGCGCCCGCUGGUACUCCGGCGGGCACGCCUGUCCGAGCGUCAUUUCAACCCUCAGUACCCGCCCUCACGGGCGCGGGACUGGUGUUGGGGCCCGGCCGCCAUCACCGGCGGCCGUCCCCUAAAUUCAGUGGCGGUCACGCCGCAAUCCCUUGCGUAGUAACACACCUCGCACCGGAGAGCGACGCGGUCCACGCCGUGAAACCCCCAAUUUUCAAUGGUUGACCUCGGAUCAGGUGGGAAUACCCGCUGAACUUAAGCAUAUCAAUAAGCGGAGGAAAAGA
This 529-nucleotide ribosomal RNA is filed under the name fungal sp. Its description in RNAcentral is "eukaryotic LSU rRNA". The stretch from base 137 to 290 matches the Rfam family "5.8S ribosomal RNA". The record is from RNAcentral. Lineage: Eukaryota; Fungi.